UAGGGAAUCUUCCGCAAUGGACGCAAGUCUGACGGAGCAACGCCGCGGGAGUGAAGAAGGAUUUCGGUUCGUAAAACUCUGUUGUUAGAGAAGAACAGCGCAUAGAGUAACUGUUAUGCGUGUGACGGUAUCUAACCAGAAAGCCACGGCUAACUACGUGCCAGCAGCCGCGGUAAUACGUAGGUGGCAAGCGUUGUCCGGAUUUAUUGGGCGUAAAGCGAGCGCAGGCGGUCAAUUAAGUCUGAUGUGAAAGCCCCCGGCUCAACCGGGGAGGGUCAUUGGAAACUGGUUGACUUGAGUGCAGAAGAGGAGGGUGGAAUUCCAUGUGUAGCGGUGAAAUGCGUAGAUAUAUGGAGGAACACCAGUGGCGAAGGCGACUCUCUGGUCUGUAACUGACGCUGAGGCUCGAAAGCGUGGGUAGCAAACAGG
This 429-nucleotide ribosomal RNA is filed under the name Bacteroidota bacterium. RNAcentral's name for it is "Bacteroidetes bacterium partial 16S ribosomal RNA". It matches the Rfam family "Bacterial small subunit ribosomal RNA", at positions 355 to 776 of the family's 1533-position model. The record is from RNAcentral. Lineage: Bacteria; Pseudomonadati; Bacteroidota.